Molecule: ribosomal RNA, 497 nt
Filed under: uncultured bacterium
Lineage: Bacteria
Description: partial 16S ribosomal RNA
Rfam family: Bacterial small subunit ribosomal RNA
Source: RNAcentral
GAUGAACGCUGGCGGCGUGCCUAACACAUGCAAGUCGAGCGAUCGGAUGAGAAGGUUUCCUUCUUGAUGUUAGCGGCGGACGCGGGUGUAUAAUGUGGAUAACACACCCUUAUGACUGGGGUAAACUCGUGAAACCGGUGCCUAUACCGGCAUAUCUUUUCAACCGCAUGGAUCAAAAGCUUAAGGCCGUUUUGCUGUCAAUUUUCGCUGGUUGCGUGCUGCAUUAGGUAGUUGGUAAGGUAACGGCUUACCCAGGCCACGAUGCAUAGCCGGCCUGAGAGGGUGAUCAGCCACACUGGAACUGAGACACGGUCCAGACUCCUACGGGAGGCAGCAGUGGGGAAUCUUGCGCAAUGGGCGAAAGCCUGACGGAGCAACGCCGCGUGUGUGAAGAAGGUCUUCGGGUCGUAAAGCACUGUUAGUGGGGAAGAACAUAGUUAUAAUAAACCGUACACAUCUUGACGGUACCUAAUCAGAAAGCCACGGCUAACUACGUG